GCGAGGGGAGCUCGGUUUGAGGGCGGAGGGUGGUGUGGGUGCUGCUCUCAACGAGCGGGGCGAUGCCCCCUGCCCUCAGAGGCCGAGGCUGCUGCUGGGCCCACACCGCUGCCUCAGCAAACGUAACAUCGAGCGAUUGUAUCCGCAGCCGGUCGGAGAAAUGACGGAGGGAAGCUCAGGAACCCUGAAGAGUUCAACCCCACCAUUGAGCGCCGGCUGAUUUCAAAAGAACACCAAAAUGCUCGGUCCAAAAGUUAACGAACAUCGAUGUUUUGCUUUGCCUUGUUGUUAAACGAGCCGACAGUUGCAUAAUUAAGCCUCUUCUCUUACCAAAGGGCCAAAAGCGUAAUGCCUGGUAACUGAGGAGAUGUAAAGCGGGGCCCUCUGAACACACACAUUGCACCCAAAGUGGUGGGAUCCUGUCAGAUGGCAAAGCUUGCUCCUAAUGAAGGAGCUCUGGGGCUGGCUGCAGCCAUGCUGACUGGCUUACACCAGGGAUUAAUUGGAGCUGUUUUGCUUUCCCUCUUUAAAAUGGAAGGUGAAAAAUAAACUGAGCGUGCCUACACAUCUGGCCAUCAAGAGAUUUAAUCUUAGAGCUUUGUUCUCCACAACCGCAUACGACCCAACUUCCAGCUCCUUUGGUUCUUGAUGUGAUGCUGGGCCGUACCCAUCUGAACAACAAAGCCAUUAACCCUUUGGGACUGGUGCCAUCUCAUUGGGAAAUCGUGUUCCUGUGAUUAACUCAUGCAAAUACACUGAAGCCCCCUUUGCCUGCUUUUUAACACUGCUCCCUGGUGCUGAGGGGUUGAGAUUGGCACAGAUAGCAAACACAUCUUUGAGCAGUUGUGUGAAGAAUGCUGCCUUUGCAGGCAUUGCCUAGGAAAGAUCGGAUGAGCUGCUCUCCUUGUGUUCUGGAAAUCAGCUUUUUCUGUCAUUGAACACAUUGCUCGAAGUCCUUGUGCUCCUAUGGAAGACUGUGUAAGGAUUCAUAUAUGCAGUAGGAGGGUAUAUGUUGUUAUGAAUUGCAGAAAAAAUGAAGGAAAACCGUGUGAGUGUUGUGGUUCUUCCUAACGCAAUGGGAAAAUGCCCGUGUCACAGGAAAACCUGCCCAGCCCUGUACAUAAUGCUGAUGUUCCACAAACAACUUUGAUGCUUUGCUCUCAUCUGUGGAGCUUCGUAUGGGGAGAAGCUGUUCAUCUUUAAGCCCACACAGUCACCGCUAGGAUCAGAAGAGAAAAGAACCUCCUGUGUGAAAGCUUCAGGUCCUGAUGACAGCUCGAAUCCCCGUGUCUCCAUAUGAUCUCAGUGAAAUGUGCAAACAAUCACUGUGCGAAUAGUUGGAAGGCAAAGGGAAUUGCUGGGAUUCUGGAGAAAGCAGGAUGUGAGGCUUUAUUUCUUUUCUGUGUACAGAUCUGUUCAUAAAUGUCCACUACAAACUUGCUGUUUGCUCUCAUUUAAACUUUCACUUCAGCGCGCUGAAGCUAAAUGCUUUUGUUAAGUUAAAGCAUAUUUAUGAACUCAAAGGCUUCCUCAUAUUUGCAUUAAAAUAUUUCAGUCCUUUGGAUCCUCCCAGGAUAUGGAUCUUUGAGGGCUCACAGGGCAAACCACCAUUCCCAGCUCCCUCAUGAAAUCAAAUACCAGGCCCGAAUGCAGGUAUAGCCCCUUCAGCCACACAUGUACCUUAUUCAGAUAUACCCAUUCCCAAACACUAUAUGAUGAAGUUAUGUCGUUUUCACAUUGAGAAUGUAUGAGCUUUCACCACCUGACUGUCAGCGCUUGUGGGGUGGGGAGAGGAAAUGUAAAAAUACAGCUCCAGACUCAGGAUAAAUAAUAAGUUUUCUCUGACAGGGACUGUCGGACAAGCUGAGACAAGAGUUAAUUUUCCUGUGGUUUUUCCUGGUGUUUAACUCUAUGUAAAGCAGAUGCAAAGCCACUGGAGAAUGACUACAGGAAGACAAGUGGGUCUGUGCAACUUAAAAGUUUGCCUGCUGUGAGUGAAAAAAAAAACAACAACUACCAGUAAGGAGAAUUUGUCACACACUGUUAGGCCAAAGGUUCGUGGCCAUCACAACCAGCUGUGUGGCACAUAUUGUUAGACCGUCACCAUCAAACCUUCUGUCCUGGACAGGCAUGAGCAUGCAACUGCAUUUGAGCUGGUUUUGCCAGAGGCCACGGUGCUGGGUUUUCUGGUGGUUUUGUGCUUUUGGGCUACCUUUAUGGUGCCUUGUUGGAGGAUAGAUGCUGCCUGAAGCGGCAGCUAAGGUGUGUAGAUGACAAUGUUCGUGACCUGGCUAUGUGAGUUUGUAUUGGCCAUGCAUUUGGUUUCAUGCAGGCGCACUGUCUGGCUCUCAUAUGUGUCCAUGUGUCACCCCUGAGUGGCAUUGGAGACAUCUGUGCUGCAUGGGCUGCACCAGCCUUUAGUUUUACCAUUUUGGCUUCUUUUCCCAGGAAAAUAAAGACUUGUAAGGAAAUCCUGCCAACUUCAUCAUACUGCCCUAUUGCUUGUAAGACCACUAGAUUUGAAGCCCUCUCUAGAGCAGCACAAAUGCCUUCACAUUUUCCUCACAGUAGAAUACUAUCAUAGUCGCUAAUUCUACUCGAGACGGGACCUACAAGAGGUAUGGCAGUAAAAGACCAUUAACUUAUAUGCAGAAGUUUUCAUAUCCACAUAUAAAUAUACAUAUAUAUACAUAUAAAUAUCCCUAUGCACACAAUUUAAAAUAGAUGAAUUAAAAUUACACACACCAUAGUUCUCACAUGGAGUCCACUUCUGUGCCCAGUCAAAUUGAGUUAGUAAUCUUACACAUAUAGAUUGAGGCUUAACAUGUAUGAACUCAGAUUGCGUGUAUGUGAAUGUAUUUUUCUGUGCUACUGCAAAUUCUUUUCACAUUGGCUGAGUGAUCCCAAGAAAUCCACAAUCCUUACACUGAAAAUUACCUUUCAAAUGCUUCGCUAUGUGAAGGACAAGUCUGAAUUCUGCUCCUUCAGCUUCAGUGACAGCUAAUUUGUCCACUGUGCAAUGCUCUUCAAGUUCUCCUGUAUGUAGGGCCUAAGGAGAGAUGAUUAAUAUAUAUUCUUUGUGCGAUAAGAUUAGAUUUGGCUUGAAAGUGAUGUGCUGAGAUACGCCACAUUUUACAUGUCUGUAAAUGGUUUGACUUUUGGUUUAAUUCGGCUUUCUCUGGCUUUUUGACUAUGUUCCUUUUGCUAAAAAUAAUGUGGGGAGAGAGGAACAGUUCAACUGUGAGCUAUUCUUCUGAACACUGGUUGUUUUGCCAUCCCACCAAUGUCAUCUGGCAUUAAUUAACAUAGUGUCUUGCUAAUUACACUGUCAGCAUACAGCCACUAAAUUCAAAUACAAAGAGAAUUGUUAAAAUGUCCCGAUUUAACUUUGGUAUUUCUUUUAAA
Coturnix japonica (Japanese quail) is the source of this 3405-nucleotide non-coding RNA. The record is from RefSeq and is a predicted model, not a curated record. Lineage: Eukaryota; Metazoa; Chordata; Aves; Galliformes; Phasianidae.